This 944-nucleotide ribosomal RNA is filed under the name uncultured archaeon. Its description in RNAcentral is "bacterial SSU rRNA". It matches the Rfam family "Archaeal small subunit ribosomal RNA", at positions 1 to 922 of the family's 1478-position model. The record is from RNAcentral.
UUUCCGGGUUGAUCCCGCCAGACCUACUGCUAUCGGGGUGGGACUAAGACAUGCGAGUCGAGCGUCUCCAGCUAUGGUGAGACGCGGCAGACGGCUCAGUAACACGUGGCUAACAUACCCUCAGGACAGGGACAAACCCGGGAAACUGGGGCUAAUACCCGAUAGGCGAGGGCGCCUGGAAUGGUUCUUCACCCAAAGGGCUUUGGAAGCAUGCUUUUCAAAGUCGCCUGGGGAUGGGGCCGCGUCCGAUCAGGUUGUUGGUGAGGUAACGGCUCACCAAGCCUAUAACCGGUACGGGCCGUGAGAGCGGUAGCCCGGAGAUGGGCACUGAGACAAGGGCCCAGGCCCUACGGGGCGCAGCAGUCGCGAAAACUCCGCAAUGCACGAAAGUGUGACGGGGCUACCCCGAGUGCCGUCCGCUGAGGAUGGCUUUUCCUCGGUGUAACUAGCCGGGGGAAUAAGGAGAGGGCAAGACUGGUGUCAGCCGCCGCGGUAAUACCAGCUCUCCGAGUGGUAGGGAUGAUUAUUGGGCUUAAAGCGUCCGUAGCCGGCUUAGCAAGUCUCCUGUUAAAUUCAGCGACCUAAUCGUUGAGCCGCGGGAGAUACUACUAGGCUAGGAGGCGGGAGAGGCCGACGGUACUUCCGGGGUAGGGGUGAAAUCCUAUAAUCCCGGGCGGACCACCAGUGGCGAAGGCGGUCGGCUAGUACGCGCUCGACGGUGAGGGACGAAAGCUGGGGGAGCGAACCGGAUUAGAUACCCGGGUAGUCCCAGCCGUAAACGAUGCGGGCUAGGUGUUGGGGCGGCUACGUGCCGCUUCGGUGCCGCAGGGAAGCCAUUAAGCCCGCCGCCUGGGAAGUACGGCCGCAAGGCUGAAACUUAAAGGAAUUGGCGGGGGAGCACUACAAGGCGUGAAGCUUGCGGUUCAAUUGGAUUCAACGCCGGG